Molecule: ribosomal RNA, 468 nt
Filed under: uncultured bacterium
Lineage: Bacteria
Description: partial 16S ribosomal RNA
Rfam family: Bacterial small subunit ribosomal RNA
Source: RNAcentral
GACGAACGCUGGCGGCGUGCUUAACCCAUGCAAGUCGACCGGAUAGGCCCUGCUUUUGUGGGAUGCUCGAGUGCCGAACGUGUGCUUAACACGUGAGUAACCUGCCCUUGACUUUGGUUUAACUUCAGUUAACUGGGGCUAAUACCGGAUAGCAGCUCCUGCUGCCUGGUGGGGGUUGGAAAGUUUCGGCGGUUGGGGAUGGACUCGCGGCUUAUCAGCUUGUUGGUGGGGUAGUCGCUUACCACGGCUUUGACGGGUAGGCGGCCUGAGAGGGUGACCGGCCACAGGGUGACUAAGAAACGGACCAAAAUAGAAAUAGAGCCAGAAGUGAGGAAAAGUGCAAAAUAGGCGGAAGACGGAAGCAGCAACGUCGCGUGCGGGAUAACGGCCUUAGGGGGGUAAACCGCUUUCGCCUGUGACGAAGCGAAAGUGACGGUAAUAGGUAAAGAAGCACCGGCUAACUACGUG